GACGAACGCUGGCGGCGUGCUUAACACAUGCAAGUCGAACGGAAAGGCCCUGCUUUUGUGGGGUGCUCGAGUGGCGAACGGGUGAGUAACACGUGAGUAACCUGCCCUUGACUUUGGGAUAACUUCAGGAAACUGGGGCUAAUACCGGAUAGGAGCUCCUGCUGCAUGGUGGGGGUUGGAAAGUUUCGGCGGUUGGGGAUGGACUCGCGGCUUAUCAGCUUGUUGGUGGGGUAGUUGCUUACCAAGGCUUUGACGGGUAGCCGGCCUGAGAGGGUGACCGGCCACAUUGGGACUGAGAUACGGCCCAGACUCCUACGGGAGGCAGCAGUGGGGAAUAUUGCACAAUGGGCGGUAGCCUGAUGCAGCAACGCCGCGUGCGGGAUGACGGCCUUCGGGUUGUAAACCGCUUUCGCCUGUGACGAAGCGUGAGUGACGGUAAUGGGUAAAGAAGCACCGGCUAACUACGUG
Molecule: ribosomal RNA, 468 nt
Filed under: uncultured bacterium
Lineage: Bacteria
Description: partial 16S ribosomal RNA
Rfam family: Bacterial small subunit ribosomal RNA
Source: RNAcentral